This 443-nucleotide ribosomal RNA is filed under the name uncultured Leptotrichia sp. RNAcentral's name for it is "bacterial SSU rRNA". It matches the Rfam family "Bacterial small subunit ribosomal RNA", at positions 338 to 795 of the family's 1533-position model. The record is from RNAcentral. Lineage: Bacteria; Fusobacteriati; Fusobacteriota; Fusobacteriia; Fusobacteriales; Leptotrichiaceae.
CCUACGGGUGGCAGCAGUGGGGAAUAUUGGACAAUGGGGGCAACCCUGAUCCAGCAAUUCUGUGUGCACGAAGAAGGUUUUCGGAUUGUAAAGUGCUUUCAGCAGGGAAGAAGGAAGUGACGGUACCUGCAGAAGAAGCGACGGCUAAAUACGUGCCAGCAGCCGCGGUAAUACGUAUGUCGCGAGCGGUAUCCGGAAUUAUUGGGCAUAAAGGGCAUCUAGGCGGCCUAACAAGUCAGGGGUGAAAACCUGCGGCUCAACCGCAGGCCUGCCUUUGAAACUGAAAGGCUGGAGUACCGGAGAGGUGGACGGAACUGCACGAGUAGAGGUGAAAUUCGUAGAUAUGUGCAGGAAUGCCGAUGAUGAAGAUAGUCCACUGGACGGAAACUGACGCUGAAGUGCGAAAGCCGGGGGAGCGAACAGGAUUAGAUACCCCAGUAGUC